UACAGAGGUCUCAAGCGUUGUUCGGAUUCAUUGGGCGUAAAGGGUGCGUAGGCGGCGCGGUAAGUCGGGUGUGAAAUCUCGGGGCUUAACUCCGAAACUGCAUUCGAUACUGCCGUGCUUGAGGACUGGAGAGGAGACUGGAAUUUACGGUGUAGCGGUGAAAUGCGUAGAUAUCAGGAGGAACACCGGUGGCGAAGGCGGCUCUCUGGACGGUGACUGACGCUGAGACGCGAAAGCGUGGGGAGCAAACAGG
RNAcentral lists this ribosomal RNA (253 nucleotides) under uncultured bacterium. RNAcentral's name for it is "partial 16S ribosomal RNA". It matches the Rfam family "Bacterial small subunit ribosomal RNA", at positions 524 to 776 of the family's 1533-position model. The record is from RNAcentral.